AUGGAGCUACACCCACAGGUGCUUUGCUGGAACAUUCACGGACUGAACAAUCCAGCUAAACGUAAGGCGGUACGGGAGUUUGUUGCCACGAUCCGUGUCAACUUGGUGUGUUUCCAAGAGACUAAACUUGAUGUAAUCGACCACUUCACAAUUAUGCAAUGCCUAGGGCCAUCUUUUGAUGGUUUUGACUACUUACCGGCGGAGGACACACGGGGAGCUAUUCUUUUGGCAUGGGAUAGCUCCGUUCUCUUGGUAGAUAGUAUCCAGCAUGAUGCAAACGCCUUGACUGGGAGGGUGCACACCAAAGUGGGGGAACCAUGGUGGAUUACUGCGGUUUACGAACCACAAGGAGACGAACUGAAGACGCGAUUUCUCGCUGACUUGCGUGUAGACGCAUGGCCUGCCCUGGGCCAUGGAUGGUGCUGGACGAUUUCAACAUGA
This 441-nucleotide ribosomal RNA is filed under the name Triticum aestivum (bread wheat). RNAcentral describes it as "partial small subunit ribosomal RNA". Lineage: Eukaryota; Viridiplantae; Streptophyta; Magnoliopsida; Poales; Poaceae. The record is from RNAcentral.